This is a long non-coding RNA of Hippopotamus amphibius kiboko, 272 nucleotides long. RefSeq lists it as uncharacterized. NCBI's taxonomy places the organism in Eukaryota, Metazoa, Chordata, Mammalia, Artiodactyla, Hippopotamidae. The record is from RefSeq and is a predicted model, not a curated record. The transcript has 3 exons.
AAGGACUGUACAGAGAUGGGUGUGGCCGGACUUUUCACUUUAUUGAAGUUGAGCAGUUGGGAUCAAGAUUCUCUGGAUCAUCUCCUCAUCUCACCCUCAGCCUAACUCUGGAAAUACCAGCGAAAGACCCCUCCACUAGCCCCUGACCCCUCCAUUCCCUGAUACCAGUGACAGGGGAAAGCAGAAGCUGUAUGCCUAGAAGCUAGAGGGACACAGGGAGAGGGUCCACAUGUACUCCUCCAAUCCUGCCCAUCCCUUAACUCACCGUGCAU